CAAGCACAUAUUUCACAUUUUUUCAUAACCUGUAUUGUAAGCCAUUCAACCUAACUUGUAUUUUCGAUCUUUCGAUACAUUUCCAAUUUCUAAGUGAUUCACUAAGUCACUUUUCACUUCAUAGGUAAAUUCCCUAAGCAUUAAUUGGAAUCCAUUUCCACACAUACACCUUGAGUCAUAACUCCCUUUUUAUUUAUGGUCUUUGAAUCUAUGUAUAUAAGGUUCAAAAGUCACUAAAUAUUAUCUUUACAUUCACAUGACUUCACUUUAUUUUAUUACAAGCAUAUUACAUGAUUUCCAUACACAAAAGAAUAAAAGUAAUUCCAAGCUCUUCAAUAGUCUUCAUUCAUACUCCACUCUUGAUCAUGCUUGUUCAUGCUCCAUUACCAUGUACCAUGUUGCAAAGAAAACAAUAAAAAUAAGUUAUAUUCAUUUCUAAAAAUUCAGCACUUACAUAACAAAAAUUUAGCAUCAUGAGCAUUUAUAAAAUACACAUAAAAAGUCAUCUUGAUUCAUAUCAUCCAUCUCUAAAAUUCAACACAUGCACAUACGUUCACAUCAUAUACAAAAUCAUUAAAAAAACAAGUCAAAUAUAAUAAAAAUUUAGCAUGUUAUGCAUAUACCAUGAAUAUAAAUUCCAUUUUAUGUAUCAUAUUCAUUCCACUUCUAUACAACAAGUAAAACCCCAUAAAUCAUGUGCAUUAAAAAUUCAGCAUUCAUGCAAUAAUAAUUUCAUCCAUGAACAUCAAUCCAAAUGCAUAUAUAAGUUAUUCAUUCAUACCAUGUAAAUACCCAAACAUGUGUUCAAGUGAUGCCAUAUAAAUUAAUUCAAUUUCCCUCACAUUCACUAAAAAUUCAGCAUAAGCACAUGCAUGUAAAUUCACAUACAUCCAUGUUUUAACUACCUUAAACUUCCACUAACUAACUUCUAACCACUUUGGGCAAUUGCCCAAAGUGCCCAAAACAACCCAAACUAACUUCUAACCAAUUCUCAACCUCUAAGCAUCCCUCACCUAGUUCUAUAUAAUCAUUCAUCAUCCACCCAUUAAGGGGAUUCUUUUUUUUUUUUUGAUUUCACUCAUUCUUCACUUUCUCUCAAGUUUUUACUCCAUUCUCCAACCUUUUCUCAUUAGAUCUCAAAUCCAUGGUUGUUGAAGCUUCAAUCAACUUGAGCAUAAACCCUCACCAUACUUCACAUCAUAGUUUUUCAUGAUUAAAGCACAAAAAAAAAAAUCAACAACAAGAAAAUAAAUGGAAAAGAGAUGAAGAGGAAUUGAAUCAAGUGAACGCGAAGAAUCACUUACCAUAUUGAAUUUGCAUCACCAUUGAAGAAACAUCGGAGGGUCUUCGAUCGGUAAGCCUCAAGCUUUAUUUAUCACUCCAUAACUUCUUGUGUUGAGUCACCUUUGUAUGCUUGUUUAUUUAUUUGUCUUACUUUUCAUCUUGUGUGGACGAUUACCCCGAGAAUCUAAGCCUUGCCAUGAACAUAAACCAUAAAAAAUUCAGCAUCUUGUCAAUACCAAAACUUGACCCCUCUCAUCACCAAUUUCAACCUUCAUCAAUAAUUCAUCAAGAAACGUCACCAAGAAUUCUUAUCGCAACCCUAACCAAUACCAAAUCAAAACCCGAUUGAAAAAUCAUAACCAUUAGAGGAAUCAAACCCAAAUCCAAAACAGUUUAACCGUAAACAAGCAUUGCAAGGAAAAUCAUUCCCAAUAGAAAGAGAAAGGAAAAAAUAAGAAGCAAAACUUGGUUCAGAAUUUUUGUCGAACACUUUGUGUGCAACCGAUUAUGAGUCGAAAACUCUAAACCAAAAUCUGAGUUGAAUACAAUCUAAACAAUUUUGAACCAAUAUAAACCAGAACAAAAUAAAAUUGUAACUUCGAAACCAAAACCCAACUGAACCAAAAUCUGAAGCGGAACCUAAAUGAACUCUGAGUUGAUAACGAAUCUAAAUUGAAACACCUGAAUGUUGAACCGAAGUAAUUGUCGAAUUUCGAAACUGUUGGAAAUCACGAUAGAAUUCCAUUUGUUGCGUGAGAAAUCAGUCACAGAACUGUGAGCUUUAGAAUCACGUUUGGUUGAAAAUCACUUAUUUGAAAAAUCCCGCUUGAAGGACGCUUUGAGCGUUCUCGUUUCUGCUAUGUUUCAUGCUGCAAUUUUCUUUGCAAUUCUCGUUCUACUACACUAGUUCUUUUGUUUCCUUUUCUAUUAUCCCCUUUCUUAAUUAUUA
Molecule: long non-coding RNA, 2233 nt
Filed under: Lathyrus oleraceus (garden pea)
Lineage: Eukaryota; Viridiplantae; Streptophyta; Magnoliopsida; Fabales; Fabaceae
Description: Pisum sativum (pea) long non-coding RNA (PSAT_LNC011525)
Source: RNAcentral